UACGUAGGUGGCAAGCGUUGUCCGGAUUUACUGGGCGUAAAGAGCGCGCAGGCGGUCGAAUAAGUCGAAUGUGAAAGCCCCCGGCUCAACUGGGGAGGGUCAUUCGAUACUGUUCGACUUGAAGGCAGGAGAGAGAAGCAGAAUUCCCGGUGUAGUGGUGAAAUGCGUAGAUAUCAGGAGGAACACCGGUGGCGAAGGCGGGUCUCUGGGCCGAUACUGACGCUGAGGAGCGAAAGCGUGGGGAGCGAACAGG
Molecule: ribosomal RNA, 253 nt
Filed under: uncultured bacterium
Lineage: Bacteria
Description: partial 16S ribosomal RNA
Rfam family: Bacterial small subunit ribosomal RNA
Source: RNAcentral